GUGCCAGCAGCCGCGGUAAGACAGAGGUGCCAAGCGUUAGGCGGAAUCACUGGGCUUAAAGCGUGUGUAGGUGGAUGUUUAAGUACCUUGUGAAAUCCCACAGCUCAACUGUGGAACUGCUCGGUAUACUGAACGUCUUGAGCUACUUAGGGGCAACCGGAACAAAUGGUGGAGCGGUGAAAUGCGUAGAUAUCAUUUGGAACGCCAAUGGUGAAAACAGGUUGCUGGGAGUAUGCUGACACUGAGACACGAAAGCCAGGGGAGCAAACGAGAUUAGAAACCCCUGUAGUCC
Molecule: ribosomal RNA, 292 nt
Filed under: uncultured bacterium
Lineage: Bacteria
Description: partial 16S ribosomal RNA
Rfam family: Bacterial small subunit ribosomal RNA
Source: RNAcentral